CCAGACUCCUACGGGAGGCAGCAGUGGGGGAUAUUGCACAAUGGGGGGAACCCUGAUGCAGUGACGCCGCGUGGGUGAAGGAGUAUUUCGGUAUGUAAAGCCCUAUCGGCAGGGAAGAAGCAAGACGGUACCUGACUAAGAAGCCCCGGCUAACUACGUGCCAGCAGCCGCGGUAAUACGUAGGGGGCGAGCGUUAUCCGGAUUCACUGGGUGUAAAGGGAGCGUAGACGGCCAUGCAAGCCAGGGGUGAAAGCCCGGGGCCCAACCCCGGGACUGCUCUGGAAACUGCGGCGCUGGAGUACGGGAGGGGCAGGCGGAAUUCCUGGUGUAGCGGUGAAAUGCGUAGAUAUCAGGAGGAACACCGGUGGCGAAGGCGGCCUGCUGGACUGCGACUGACGUUGAGGCCCGAAAGCGUGGGGAGCAAACAGGAUUAGAUACCCCGGUAAG
Molecule: ribosomal RNA, 447 nt
Filed under: uncultured bacterium
Lineage: Bacteria
Description: partial 16S ribosomal RNA
Rfam family: Bacterial small subunit ribosomal RNA
Source: RNAcentral